CUCCAAAAAAAUAGUUAAAGAUGAUUUGAGUGUAUUUGAAAUACCAUAUACAACAAAUAAAGACUAUGACGAUGUGAUGAUGAUAAACUCGGUUGGAGAUUUAUAUCCUGUACCAGAUUCUGACACAUAUUACAGUAAAUUAAACAACAAAAAAAGUACGUUUAAUUUUUCUGAUGAUGAAAAUAAUACAGAAAACGUACAAAAUUUAUGUAAAACGUAUACUAGCGAAACUUUUAAUUUGGAUGAAUGGGUAAAUGGUAAUAAUAGCCACAAUGAUAACAGUGACAAUAAUAAGAUUAGUGGAAACAGUGCCAACAAUAAUAGUAAUAGUAUAUAUAACUGGAAAGUUAUAAAUGAGUUUGGUAUAAGCAGAUUAAUAUAUUCCAACAAUUACAAAGACAUGAAAAUUGAAUCAGCACUAGUUUAUAAAUUAAGUUCAUGUAAUUCUUAUAAAUUAUCGUCCUAUAUAAAAUUAGAAAAUAACAGUGAGGCUGGUUUAUUAUUUAGAUAUAACAAUUCAAAUAAUAUGUAUAUAUUAACAAUAUCAGUCGACACGAAAAAUAUAGUACUAAAAAAAUAUCAAAAUAAUAAAAAAACUAUUAUUAAAAGUACAUAUAUACCAGCAAUUAAUACUUUUCGAAGACAUCAUUUAGUGAUAGAUGACCAAGGACAAACAGGAAUUAUUGGUAUAUUUCUUGACGAUGAAAAUAUAUUUUCUAUAAAUAAUCAAAAUAAUUACAAGUCAGGAUAUGUAGGAUUUUUUGUCGAAUAUGGAUAUGCAAUAUAUGAUACGUUAAAAAUUGAGCCAACUAAGCCGACUAAGACAAACACAUCAUAAAACUGUUGUAAAUUGAAAAAAAAGCAACAAAAUGCAAGGGGGCGAAAUGAAAUGCAAGGGGGCGAAAUGAAAUGCAAAGGGGCGAAAUGAAAUGCAAGGACGCAAAACAAAAUGCAAAGAGGUAAAACGAAAUGCAAAAAUAAAAAACGAAAUUCAUCUUCUCUGUAUAACA
Molecule: long non-coding RNA, 1010 nt
Filed under: Piliocolobus tephrosceles (Ugandan red Colobus)
Lineage: Eukaryota; Metazoa; Chordata; Mammalia; Primates; Cercopithecidae
Description: lncRNA (ENSPTEG00000017002.1)
Source: RNAcentral